RNAcentral lists this transfer RNA (87 nucleotides) under Chloroflexota bacterium. Its description in RNAcentral is "Chloroflexi bacterium (hot springs metagenome) tRNA-Ser". It matches the Rfam family "tRNA". Rfam says of the family: Transfer RNA (tRNA) molecules are approximately 80 nucleotides in length. Their secondary structure includes four short double-helical elements and three loops (D, anti-codon, and T loops). Further hydrogen bonds mediate the characteristic L-shaped molecular structure. tRNAs have two regions of fundamental functional importance: the anti-codon, which is responsible for specific mRNA codon recognition, and the 3' end, to which the tRNAs corresponding amino acid is attached (by aminoacyl-tRNA synthetases). tRNAs cope with the degeneracy of the genetic code in two manners: having more than one tRNA (with a specific anti-codon) for a particular amino acid; and 'wobble' base-pairing, i.e. permitting non-standard base-pairing at the 3rd anti-codon position. The record is from RNAcentral. Lineage: Bacteria; Bacillati; Chloroflexota.
GGAGAGGUGCUGGAGUGGUUUAACAGGCACGCCUGGAGAGCGUGUGUCGGGUACUCCCGACCGUGGGUUCGAAUCCCACCCUCUCCG